GCCGGGAUGGUCUAAUCGGUUAAGGCGUCGCCCCGUUAAAACAGGCGAAGGUUGCGGGUUCAAUCCCCGCUCCUGGCC
Molecule: transfer RNA, 78 nt
Filed under: Ixodes scapularis (black-legged tick)
Lineage: Eukaryota; Metazoa; Arthropoda; Arachnida; Ixodida; Ixodidae
Description: tRNA-Asn for anticodon GUU
Rfam family: tRNA
About the family: Transfer RNA (tRNA) molecules are approximately 80 nucleotides in length. Their secondary structure includes four short double-helical elements and three loops (D, anti-codon, and T loops). Further hydrogen bonds mediate the characteristic L-shaped molecular structure. tRNAs have two regions of fundamental functional importance: the anti-codon, which is responsible for specific mRNA codon recognition, and the 3' end, to which the tRNAs corresponding amino acid is attached (by aminoacyl-tRNA synthetases). tRNAs cope with the degeneracy of the genetic code in two manners: having more than one tRNA (with a specific anti-codon) for a particular amino acid; and 'wobble' base-pairing, i.e. permitting non-standard base-pairing at the 3rd anti-codon position.
Source: RNAcentral